GCGGACCUACGGGACGCAGCAGUAGGGAAUCUUCCACAAUGGGCGAAAGCCUGAUGGAGCAACGCCGCGUGGGUGAAGAAGGUCUUCGGAUCGUAAAACCCUGUUGUUAGAGAAGAAAGUGCGUGAGAGUAACUGUUCACGUUUCGACGGUAUCUAACCAGAAAGCCACGGCUAACUACGUGCCAGCAGCCGCGGUAAUACGUAGGUGGCAAGCGUUAUCCGGAUUUAUUGGGCGUAAAGGGAACGCAGGCGGUCUUUUAAGUAGGAUGUGAAAGCCUUCGGCUUAACCGGAGUAGUGCAUUUGG
Molecule: ribosomal RNA, 305 nt
Filed under: uncultured bacterium
Lineage: Bacteria
Description: bacterial SSU rRNA
Rfam family: Bacterial small subunit ribosomal RNA
Source: RNAcentral